RNAcentral lists this long non-coding RNA (1335 nucleotides) under Homo sapiens (human). Its description in RNAcentral is "HSALNT0298947". Lineage: Eukaryota; Metazoa; Chordata; Mammalia; Primates; Hominidae. The record is from RNAcentral.
UUUAUGAGAAUUAUGCAGAGAUAGGUAACAGAUGGAGAAGAAAUUUGAGCUUUGGAGGGGGAUACCUGAUAUCCUUUGGAGAAUAAAUGCUGAAGAAGCAGAAGUGUGUCUUGUUGAGAAGAUUCAAAGGAGGGGCUACAAAGAAGAAGGUCAUCAAUAUAUUGAAUAAGGUUUUGACAUAAUUUGGUGUCAGAAGUAGAAUUGAAGCUGGUUAGUUGGACAGAUGGACAACCCCUGAAAUUGAGUGAAUUGCCUGUGCUGAGCCCUUUUGAGCUCUCCACCUCCGUGGCUGACCUUUUCUACCCUGCUGAAUCUCCUCUCAGAUUCCUGGACUCCUUUUUGGUUCCUCCAAUCAACUUUUUUUCCAUGGAAUUGCUAAAAAUGGGAGCCUCUCUGUUUCUGCAGCCCUAUAAACUGAAAUUAAAUUUUAAGGGACAAGUUGCCUUUCUGAUGGUUGGGCUACAUGGCAAGUUCUCCAGACCACCUGAUGCCAUAACCAAAGACAUUCCAGCAGCAAUCCAGGACAUAAUGUUGCUGGCUUCAUGCUAUGGACAGCUUUUCCCAAGAAUGCUAGCCCAGCACUUUGAGAUGAUAAUCAAUGUUUAUGGAACAGACAAAAUUCAACUUAACAAUGGACUGCAGUCCCAGCUUUAUCAGUUAUGUGUGGUCUUGGACAAGUUAUUUUACUUCUCUGAACUCAGUUUUCUCAUUCAUAAAGUGGAAAUAAUAAUCUCUAUCUUAUGGGAUUGUUGAAAGGACUAGAAUGAAUAUAUGCAAAGCUCUUGGUAGAAAUUGAGAACUCAAUGAAGACAGAAGAGAUGUAAGUCAAUAUGAUGAGUAAGUCAAAUGAUGCUGGAGUUGGGUCUUGGAAGGAAAACAACAUUCAAAUAGGUAGAGGUAGAAAGAAAAGAGAUUCCAACCAGAAUGAGUGUGAACAAAGAGGAAGCCACAGUACAGUGGGAUGUGUGCAAUUACUGAAAACUUUGCAUAGAUUUGGCUAGAGUAGUAGAGUUCUCCUUCAAUAGGAGCAGUGGCAGAAAAAGGACUGGAGGGAAGGAUGGACUCAGACACAGAGGGCAACAAGAUAAGGGCAAAGGGUGUGUGUCUCCUUGGAGGCCACCAUGUGCUGCCCUGCUAUUGUCUGGGGACUGGGUGAAAGUCAAUAUUGCCCUGCUCAGGACCAAGAGACAUUGCUACCAUUGGCACUGCUUGGAUGUUCCUGAUGCUCCCAGAACCUCUGUCACUUAGGAAAUUACAAGGGUUUAGAUACUUUGUACCAGAAAUGAGGUAAAAGCCAAAUAUAUAUUUAUUUCUCCUUAUAUAUAUAUAGAGAGA